GGCAGCGCGAGAGGGAGCCCACUCGCUCUGCACCGCCAAGACUGGACAGCCUUCGGAGAAUGGCGCCUGCCUGCCCAAGGCACUCUUAACCGUGCUUGACCGGCCUCCAGCCAAGCCCGUUAGCAGACACCUGUCGCCACCGCUCCCCGCUGCUGAAUGCCCGAGCACCCCGUUCACACGCAACUCCAGGGGCACCUUCCACGGCAGGUGCCUCAGAAAGCUUCCAGCGACGAAAAGUGGUUUCGGGAAAGAAUGUGGUGAGGAGGGAAAGGCAGGGGGAGCUGGCCAGUCCCCUCCAGUGCUUUGAUCAGGAUGAAUGACCUUGGUUGUGAAGUAAAGGAACUUGGCGCGGCCCUCCCCUGCAUCCUGGCCCUUGGCCACSGAGGAGUAAGCAAUAAAAUGUCCAAAAC
Molecule: long non-coding RNA, 410 nt
Organism: Urocitellus parryii (Arctic ground squirrel)
Lineage: Eukaryota; Metazoa; Chordata; Mammalia; Rodentia; Sciuridae
Source: RefSeq, a predicted model, not a curated record